RNAcentral lists this ribosomal RNA (253 nucleotides) under uncultured bacterium. RNAcentral's name for it is "partial 16S ribosomal RNA". It matches the Rfam family "Bacterial small subunit ribosomal RNA", at positions 524 to 776 of the family's 1533-position model. The record is from RNAcentral.
UACGUAGGGGGCGAGCGUUGUCCGGAGUUACUGGGCGUAAAGCGCACGCAGGCGGUCUGCUAAGUUUGGAGUGACAGUUGGUGGCUUAACUGCCAAAGUGCUUCGAAAACUGACAGACUUGAGGGCUUCAGAGGGACACGGAAUUCCGGGUGGAGUGGUGAAAUGCGUAGAGAUCCGGAGGAACACCGGUGGCGAAGGCGGUUCUCUGGGCAGUAACUGACGCUGAGGAGCGAAAGCGUGGGGAGCGAACAGG